This 75-nucleotide transfer RNA is filed under the name Acuticoccus mangrovi. RNAcentral describes it as "tRNA-Ile". It matches the Rfam family "tRNA". From Rfam's summary of the family: Transfer RNA (tRNA) molecules are approximately 80 nucleotides in length. The record is from RNAcentral. Lineage: Bacteria; Pseudomonadati; Pseudomonadota; Alphaproteobacteria; Hyphomicrobiales; Amorphaceae.
GGGGGAGUAGCUUAACGGUAAAGCCCGCCGCUCAUAACGGUUUAGAUGCAGGUUCGAAUCCUGCCUCCCCUACCA